GAUGAACGCUGGCGGCGUGCUUAACACAUGCAAGUCGAACGGGAAACCUUUUAUUGAAGCUUCGGCAGAUUUAGCUGGUUUCUAGUGGCGGACGGGUGAGUAACGCGUGGGUAACCUGCCCUAUACAGGGGGAUAACAACCAGAAAUGGUUGCUAAUACCGCAUAAGCGCACAGGGCCGCAUGGUCCGGUGUGAACAACUCCGGUGGUAUAGGAUGGACCCGCGUUGGAUUAGCCAGUUGGCAGGGUAACGGCCUACCAAAGCGACGAUCCAUAGCCGGCCUGAGAGGGUGAACGGCCACAUUGGGACUGAGACACGGCCCAGACUCCUACGGGAGGCAGCAGUGGGGAAUAUUGCACAAUGGGGGAAACCCUGAUGCAGCGACGCCGCGUGAAGGAAGAAGUAUCUCGGGAUGUAAACUUCUAUCAGCAGGGAAGAUAGUGACGGUACCUGACUAAGAAGCCCCGGCUAACUACGUG
RNAcentral lists this ribosomal RNA (478 nucleotides) under uncultured bacterium. Its description in RNAcentral is "partial 16S ribosomal RNA". It matches the Rfam family "Bacterial small subunit ribosomal RNA", at positions 28 to 507 of the family's 1533-position model. The record is from RNAcentral.